GAGAGAACGAGAGAGAGAGAAAGAGAGAUUGAGAGGUUUGACUUGUUGGAGUCAGGGAAGGUGAAUUUGAAGCCUCAUAGGUUAUAGGGACCCUGAAAAGAUACCUUACUGCUUCAUAAGCCAACCUGUUGCUCUGUGUCCAGUGGUGAGAAUCAGAAAAAACUGAGUUCAAGUCCUGCCUCCCAUACUUACAAUUUGUGUGACCCUUAUCAAGUCUUAACAACUCUCCCCAAUGUCAGUGCCAGAUUGGGCUAAUUAAACAUAAUGCUGAGAGGGUUUUCUCAGGUCUCUCCUAUCUAUAUUUGAGAGGAAACAACCUUGGAAGGGCACAGACCAGCCAAGGAUUGGCCCAAAUUAGAGUACGCCACAAUGGGAAGGUAGUGGAUUCCACAGGAAGAAGCAGACCUCAGCAGCAUGGAAUAUAUCUUUCAGUUUCUCAGGAUUACUGGGGCAAAUUGUGUUGUAUAAGAAAAUGUACACACGAGACCACCCCUGUGACUGUUACAGGAGAGACUGAUAGAUCCCCAAAUAUGCCUUGGGCCAGGGAAGCUAUUAGCUAGGAGCAGGACACCAAAGGUGAAAAGCCAGAGUGACUGGCGAUCAAGAACAAGUUUUCCUUUGGGUUACUCGGAACUUUUCUUCCUAUUUACAUUAAAGGUAGUUUGCAUUCUGUGUGGAAUUUAGGUCCUGCUGAUAUUCCCUUGCAUCCACCACACAAAGACAUUUGGGAAGGUCCUAUCUCAGGCAGAACAGCUAGAGUUUUUCCGCAGGGCAGAUGGUGACUUUAGAAGGGACGGAGAACCUGCAGAACUUCAGUGCACUGGCAAUGAGCUCUUUCUUUAUCCUUCCCUGGCUGCAUGGCAUCCUCCUCAACAAUGGCUUCACAGCAGUUUUCUGGGGAUUCCAUCUAGGUGGUUCAAGGGUAAGAGCCCUGGGCCUGGAGUCAAAAAGACCUCUGCUCAAAGCCAGCCUCUGGCACUUAGUAAGCAUGUGACCUUGGGCAAGGACAAGUCAGAGUUUCCAAGUCAAGCAUUCCUUGCUCUUUGUGCCUCUUCAGUAAGACUGACUAUCCAUCUGAACGGGUCCCUGAUCUUAGAGUCGUCUGAGGCGCUAAGAGGUCAGAUGCCGUGACCGUGGUCAGGCUGCUGGCAUGGGUCGAAAGCAAGAUUGCAGCCUUCCUGACUUUGAAACUGGCCCUCUAGCCUUAGUUCUUAAGACACAGUUCAAGCAUCAACUACAUCAUGAAGUCUUUCUUGAUUCCAACUGCUAUAAGCCUUGCUCCCAGACUCCGUGCAUUUUGCAUUUGUAUUUAUUCUUCAUGUACAUUUAUACAUUUUCUGUCUUGUUAGAACCUAAGCUUGUCUUGUUAGGGACUGUGUCUUUAAGAGUGUUUGCAUCUCCAGAACCUAGCACUAUGAUGUGCAUGUGCUUGUUGUUUGUUACUUAGCCCAUGUGCCUUUGUAUGUGCCCAGCACAUUGGAGGAGUAAAUCCAUAGCUCUUGACUGAAUGAAUACAUUACUGAGCUAAAAUAAUUAUUAGUGAUUACAGUUAUUCAUAAUUUUCCUCAGGUGUCAGUUUAUUCUUUCAUUUAUCAUAGCUAAACCAUGUAUUUUCUUAUAGUUCAAUUUACUCGGUGGUAUGAGGUAUUGAUCUUCUAUCAAAAUUCUGCCAAACUGCUUUGGAUUUAUGCCAUCUAUUUUUACCAACUAUAGAUAGUUCUCGCUUUCUGUAAGUGGACUGUUGGGUAAAGCUUUAGUGGAGCAAUUUUAAAGUAAAGUGAAUUUAGCCCCAGACUUGGCUUCAAGGGAGAAAAGGAGACAGGAAGGGAGUCAUGAGUCUGGGAAAGGAGGGGGCCAGGAGAUGAUUCAAGGACACAUGGACCUCGCGCACUGAGAAGCAAGAGCAGGCUUGGGACCAGGCAGGUGUAGCCAGCCACCGCCCCACAAAGGAGAGGACAGGUAACAUGUGGACUGAGGAAAGACACAUGACACCUGAGCGUGGAUGGACAGGAGACACACAAGCAGAUGCCAGACAGGAGGAUAAGUGGGCAGAGCCACCAAAAGGCUCCCUUCUUAGUGCUGGAGGUCUCAAGCCAAGCCCAGAUGCUGAAGCUGCAGAGGUGGAAGGAAUCACGCUGCAUGAAAAAUCCUUUUUGUUCCUCCUCCCUACUUUUUCAUUAAUACAUUAUAGAUAAAAAUAUGCAAGGCUGUUUUCUCUUUCUUACAUCACAGUAUCCCACGUAUCCCUCCCUCUCCUUGUGCCUCCUGAGAGUCAUGCCAUGUGAUGAAUGGUAUUUUGUGUUUUAGGAAUGAAAAAAAUCAACACAACUAUAUAAUCCAGAGAGGAAAAGAUAUUUGUGGUAGGAGAUAAUCUUUCUGGGAACAUUCCUAUUCCUGGAGGAUCACUGUCUCUUGAAGCACUUCUGAUCUCUAAACAUGACUGAAACGAUGCCUUCUAUUGGAGAUAAUCUUUCUGCAAACACUCCUCUUUCUGGAGCUUCUUCUUUCUUAAAGCACUUCUAAUCUGUGAAUAUUCAGAGGAAAAGACACUUGUGGAUGGAGGAGAUAAUCUUUCUGGAAGCAUUCCCAUUUCUGGAGGCUCACUGUCUCUUGAAGCACUUCUGAUCUCUAAACAUGACUGAAAGAAUGCCUUCUAUUGGAGAUAAUCUUUCUGCAAACACUCCCAUUUCUGGAGCUUCGUCUUUCUUAAAGCACUUUUAAUCUCUGAAUAUUCAGAGGAAAAGACACUUGUGGUAGGAGAUAAUCUUUCUGGAAGCAUUCCCAUUUCUGGAGGAUCACUGUCUCUUGAAGCACUUCUGAUCUCUAAACAUGACUGAAACGGUACCUUCUAUUGGAGAUAAUCUUUCUAGAAGCACUCCUCUUUCUGGAGCUUCGUUCUGGGUUGAAGAACUUCUGAUCUCUGAAGAUUCUGAGGAAAAGACACUUGUGGAUGGAGGAGAUAAUCUUUCUGAGAACCUUUCACUUACUACUGGCUUACUCUCAGGGGAAGCACAUCUAACAUCAGAGUAUUCUGUGGAUGAAAUGCUGAUGGGUGAAGACAUACUCUAUGAGAACCUUUUAGUUACUACUACUCUCAGAACUCAGAGGAAAAGACAAUUGUGGAGGAAGACACUCUCUCUGGGAACAUUGUGGUGUAAGAGAGAGACUGGGAAGGCCUUCUGGGCAAAGAAACCAACCUUUGAGAGAAACAAUGGUGGGCUCUAUGGUCCGUCCAGUACGGUCUGAGACCUCACCUUGUUUCCCUUAAUAAGGGUCGGUUCCUUUGCCCAGAGAGGCUUUCCAGUUUCUGUCUUACACCCGUUACUUCAGGAUUGCUCUCUAUGGAAACACAUCUAGACUGACAUCACUCAGCGGACAAGAUCUCUGUGGCAGGAGACACUCGUUCUGGCAACAUCCCACUUACUACGGGCUUCCUCUCUGGGGAAGCACAGCAAGAGAAAAAUUGGACAUUUAAUGAAAUAGAGGCCGCUGAAGCAUUCCUGAUGAAAAGACAAGCGCUGAGAAGAAAAUCUGACUCUCAAAUUGAAGACUCAAAAGCAGCAUUCAAAGG
Long non-coding RNA from Antechinus flavipes (yellow-footed antechinus), 3571 nucleotides. RefSeq lists it as uncharacterized. The transcript has 2 exons. NCBI's taxonomy places the organism in Eukaryota, Metazoa, Chordata, Mammalia, Dasyuromorphia, Dasyuridae. The record is from RefSeq and is a predicted model, not a curated record.